This 1419-nucleotide ribosomal RNA is filed under the name Triticum aestivum (bread wheat). RNAcentral describes it as "partial small subunit ribosomal RNA". The record is from RNAcentral. Lineage: Eukaryota; Viridiplantae; Streptophyta; Magnoliopsida; Poales; Poaceae.
AUGGAAGUUGUUCUGUCUGCGGCUGCAGGCGACCUUGUUAGCAGAUUCUUCUCCUUUUUUAUCGGGAGGUAUUCAGAAGCACCAUGCUCGGAGGAGAAGCAUGCCGAGAGGUUGCAGCAACUCCUGCUAAGAGCUCAGAUGGUUGUCGAGGAGGCGGAUGGGAGGUACAUCACCAACUCUGGUAUGCUUCUGCAACUGAAGAUGCUAGCUAGGGCUAUGUACCAUGGUUAUCAUGCACUAGACACCUUCAAGUGCAACCAACUAAUCAGAGAGGGCACUAAGGAAGCGAUGAGUUCUGGCUCAUUUGCCUCAUAUCUUGCCACUCCCUUGAAGCGCCUCCGUGCAAAUGCUGGUGUAUCGAAUCACCAAGUUGAUAACAACUGUGACCUACAAGAUGCCUUGUUAAAUUUAGAGACCGUUGUUUCUAAUAUCACAGAGUUUGUCAUACUUUUGGGUGGGUAUGAACCCAUGUUUCGCAGACCCUAUGACACACUUUAUGUCGACAACUGUAUGUUCGGUCGUUGGACUGAGAAGCAACAAGUUAUCAACUUCUUGUUGCAGCGCAACCCUCGUGCUUCUCCAUCUGUACUUCCAAUCAUCGGUGGCUAUCUAGUCGGGAAGAAAACUCUGGUAGCACAUGUAUGGAAUGAUGAAAAGGUCUACUUCUCUUCAAUUUUGCACUUCAAUGGAGACAACUUCCAUAUGGUAGAAACAGAAAGGUGCACAGGGAGGGCAUUGGUCGUUGUUAAAUUUGUUUCAGAGGUCAAUGAUGAGGACUGGAAAUCAUUUUACCGGGCAGUGACAUCCAUAAGCACAGAAAGUAAGGUUAUAAUCAUUAGUAGGAUGGAAAGUUUGACUAGAUAUGGUACUGUGAAGCCAAUUCACCUAAGUAGAUUACCAGAGGAGGAGUACAGCUACCUCUUCAAGGCACUAGCAUUUGGCAGUGCCCACACCGAGGACCACCCAAAGCUGACACUGUUAGCAGGAGAGUUCAUCAAAUUGUUGGACGGGUCAUUUGUGGCAGCAUAUUCACUUACCAAUGGGUUGAGGACAAAUCUAAUCCUUCAGUUCUGGCUCUCCAUGUUGAAGAGAUACAAGAAUGUGACAAAGAACAACUUGUCAAUGUUUGGUGAGCAUCCAUCAGAACGUUUCAAAAAACGAUGUGCAGUAGACUUCACCAACUUUCUUCCCUCUCCCGCUGCUCCACUACACCUUAUGCCUCCUCGAACUGAAGCCAGGAAACUACCUAAGAUAAGGAUUGGAGAGAUCAUUGAGAAUCCCUCCCUUCGUCCUAAGGGUGACUUUGUAUUAGUGACAUGGGAAUCACAGAUACCGUUCAGUUACCAUGUCCCGUAUUGUGCUCAACAGCAGCCUAAAACAACCUUACGGAGGAAGCGUGAAGCUAUUAUUUCUCUCUAG